AUGAUUUCUCUUCUUUCAAAACCUUGUCUAUAUAAUCCAUUUUUCUUGUUGUUCAACAGCAUGUACAAGACUCUAGAGCGGUACCGCAGCUGUAACUUCAACUCCGAGGCAACUUCAACUCCGGAGUCCGAAGAGAGCAGUUACCAGGAGUAUUUAAAGCUAAAGACAAGAGUUGACUUCCUACAGACAACUCAGAGAAAUCUUCUUGGCGAGGACUUGGGCCCACUUAACAUGAAGGAACUUGAGCAACUGGAGAACCACAUUGAGAUGUCUCUCAAACAUAUCAGGGCGACAAAGAGCCAGCAGUCAUUUGAUCAGCUCUUCGAGCUCAAGCGCAAGGAACAACAACUGCAAGAUGUUAAUAAAGACUUACGAAAGAAGAUACAAGAAACUAGUGCGGAAAGUGUUCUACAGAUGUUUUGCCAGGAUGUUGAUGUUGGACCUAGUGGAUCUAGUGGCCAUGCUAAUCAAGCUAAUCAACAGCAGCAUUUUCAUCCUGAUUGUGACCCUUCCUUGCGUAUGUGGUAUGAUCAUGCUUACCUGGAUCACUUGAACAAGGAAUGA
This 564-nucleotide ribosomal RNA is filed under the name Triticum aestivum (bread wheat). Its description in RNAcentral is "partial small subunit ribosomal RNA". Lineage: Eukaryota; Viridiplantae; Streptophyta; Magnoliopsida; Poales; Poaceae. The record is from RNAcentral.